GGAUGCGAUCAUACCAGCACUAACGCACCGGAUCCCAUCAGAACUCCGAAGUUAAGCGUGCUUGGGCGAGAGUAGUACUAGGAUGGGUGACCCCCGUGGGAAGUCNUUAAUUUACAAAAC
Nicotiana attenuata is the source of this 120-nucleotide non-coding RNA. The record is from Rfam. NCBI's taxonomy places the organism in Eukaryota, Viridiplantae, Streptophyta, Magnoliopsida, Solanales, Solanaceae.